RNAcentral lists this RNase P RNA (146 nucleotides) under Gammaproteobacteria bacterium. RNAcentral's name for it is "partial RNase P RNA component class A". It matches the Rfam family "Bacterial RNase P class A", at positions 208 to 367 of the family's 367-position model. From Rfam's summary of the family: Ribonuclease P (RNase P) is a ubiquitous endoribonuclease, found in archaea, bacteria and eukarya as well as chloroplasts and mitochondria. The record is from RNAcentral. Lineage: Bacteria; Pseudomonadati; Pseudomonadota; Gammaproteobacteria.
AAACCCCACUUGGAGCAAGACCAAAUAGGGAUCCAUUAGGCGUGGCCCGCGCUGGAUCCGGGUAGGUUGCUUGAGGUCGUCAGUGAUGGCGAUCCUAGAGGAAUGACUGUUCACGACAAAACCCGGCUUAUAGAUCGACUCUCCAC